RNAcentral lists this long non-coding RNA (227 nucleotides) under Nicotiana benthamiana. RNAcentral's name for it is "long non-coding RNA (NBEN_LNC005920)". Lineage: Eukaryota; Viridiplantae; Streptophyta; Magnoliopsida; Solanales; Solanaceae. The record is from RNAcentral.
UUGAUUAUAUGAGUACUAGAGUGGGUAGAAUUUGAUUCAUAUUCCAGUGUUUUAUAAAUUCGACUUUUCUCCAACAUAUCAUUAGUUAGAGAGAUGGCCACAAAAGAGAUAUUGGCGGACGAUAUUGGGGACGUAUCACCACUCCCGAAAUACUAAAAGAGAAAAGCAUAAAAUUGGUUAGAGACUCGUGCUGAUAACGUGUUAUGAAAUAAUAUAAGAACAAGAAC